UAGGGAAUAUUGGGCAAUGGACGAAAGUCUGACCCAGCCAUGCCGCGUGCAGGAUGAAUGUUCUAUGAAUUGUAAACUGCUUUUUUACGGAAAGAAACCUCUGGAUGCGUCCAGAGCUGACGGUACCGUAAGAAUAAGGAUCGGCUAACUUCGUGCCAGCAGCCGCGGUAAGACGAAGGAUCCAAGCGUUGUCCGGAUUUACUGGGUUUAAAGGGUGCGUAGGCGGAAAUUUAAGCCAGUGGUGAAAGCCUCCCGCUUAACGGGAGAACUGCCAUUGGAACUGGAUUUCUUGAAUAUAGUUGAGGUAGAUGGAAUAUAGCAUGUAGCGGUGAAAUGCUUAGAUAUGCUAUAGAACACCAAUUGCGAAGGCAGUCUGCUAAACUAUCAUUGACGCUGAGGC
This 400-nucleotide ribosomal RNA is filed under the name uncultured bacterium. RNAcentral describes it as "bacterial SSU rRNA". It matches the Rfam family "Bacterial small subunit ribosomal RNA", at positions 355 to 752 of the family's 1533-position model. The record is from RNAcentral.